This 265-nucleotide long non-coding RNA is filed under the name Lathyrus oleraceus (garden pea). Its description in RNAcentral is "Pisum sativum (pea) long non-coding RNA (PSAT_LNC022766)". Lineage: Eukaryota; Viridiplantae; Streptophyta; Magnoliopsida; Fabales; Fabaceae. The record is from RNAcentral.
AAGAAACUCAUGGAGGAACAAGAAGAUUGGUAUCAUCUCCAUCAUCUCAUCUUCAUCAUUAUCCACUAUCUUCUUCACCAACUUCAUCAUGUUCUCCAUAUGAGGUGAGUUCUAGAUAGGAAUUAGCCAUUGGGGGAUAAAAUCUAUGUUUUGGGAGUUAGGAUUUGUGUGAAUCUCUGAUGAAAUUGUUGUUGUUCAUACUUCUCAUUGAUGUUAUGUGUUGGUACCAUGUUGUUGUUAUUGAAGUUGUUGUCUUUGAUUGCUU